This is a non-coding RNA of Trichobilharzia regenti, 164 nucleotides long. Lineage: Eukaryota; Metazoa; Platyhelminthes; Trematoda; Strigeidida; Schistosomatidae. The record is from Rfam.
AUACUUACCUGGCACAGGAGGCACCCUGAUCACGAAGGGGGUCCUCCCAGGGCGAGGCCUGUCCAUUGCACUUCGGAUGGGUUGACCCCUGCGAUCACCCCAAAUGUGGGUGACUCGGGUGCGUAAUUUUUUCGUAGGGGGGACUGCGUUCGCGCUAUCCCCUG